GAGUUUGAUCAUGGCUCAGAACGAACGCUGGCGGCGUGGAUAAGACAUGCAAGUCGAACGGGAGAAUUGCUAGCUUGCUAAUAAUUCUCUAGUGGCGCACGGGUGAGUAACACGUGAGUAACCUGCCCCGACGAGCGGGAUAGCCCUGGGAAACUGGGAGUUAAUACCGCAUAGUAUCGAAAGAUUAAAGCAGCAAUGCGCUUGGGGAUGGGCUCGCGGCCUAUUAGUUAGUUGGUGAGGUAACGGCUCACCAAGGCGGAUGACGGGUAGCCGGUCUGAGAGGAUGUCCGGCCACACUGGAACUGAGACACGGUCCAGACACCUACGGGUGGCAGCAGUCGAGAAUCAUUCACAA
Molecule: ribosomal RNA, 355 nt
Filed under: uncultured microorganism
Description: bacterial SSU rRNA
Rfam family: Bacterial small subunit ribosomal RNA
Source: RNAcentral